UUUCCAUCUGUAAUGAUUGUUUAAUGACUAUUUAAAAAGUGCCGCCUGAGGUCUUCUAAUCACCCAAUUUUUAUUAAGCUCUCAAGGAAAUCACACAGAUGGAAUCAAAGAGGCUCAUUUUGAGUCUAGUCAAGUUCACCAACAGUCCAGAGAGGGAAGGAAUCAAUUUCACAUCCUGGACAUAAUAGGUGAAGCUACCAGAAAUCAAUGGUCAAUGAAGCUACUUAAUGGAAUCUACUGAAUUGUGAGCAGCAUGACUUGUGAGCACACUCUUCAACUAAGGAAGGAGUCUCUUUGAUACACAAUAAAUUAGUACAGCUUGCCCA
This 326-nucleotide long non-coding RNA is filed under the name Monodelphis domestica (gray short-tailed opossum). RNAcentral's name for it is "lncRNA (ENSMODG00000039557.1)". The record is from RNAcentral. Lineage: Eukaryota; Metazoa; Chordata; Mammalia; Didelphimorphia; Didelphidae.